CCUACGGGUGGCAGCAGUGGGGAAUAUUGCACAAUGGGGGAAACCCUGAUGCAGCGACGCCGCGUGAGUGAAGAAGUAAUUCGUUAUGUAAAGCUCUAUCAGCAGGGAAGAAAAUGACGGUACCUGAGUAAGAAGCCCCGGCUAACUACGUGCCAGCAGCCGCGGUCAUACGUAGGGGGCAAGCGUUAUCCGGAUUUACUGGGUGUAAAGGGAGCGUAGACGGCGCUGCAAGUCCGGAGUGAAAGCCCAUGGCUUAACCAUGGUACUGCUCUGGAAACUGUGGAGCUUGAGUGCGGGAGGGGCAGGCGGAAUUCCUAGUGUAGCGGUGAAAUGCGUAGAUAUUAGGAGGAACACCGGCGGCGAAGGCGGCCUGCUAGACCGUAACUGACGUUGAGGCUCGAAAGCGUGGGGAGCAAACAGGAUUAGAUACCCCUAGUC
Molecule: ribosomal RNA, 438 nt
Filed under: uncultured bacterium
Lineage: Bacteria
Description: partial 16S ribosomal RNA
Rfam family: Bacterial small subunit ribosomal RNA
Source: RNAcentral